AGGCUUAACACAUGCAAGUCGAGGGGCAUCAGGAAGAAAGCUUGCUUUCUUUGCUGGCGACCGGCGCACGGGUGAGUAACACGUAUCCAACCUGCCCUUUACUCGGGGAUAGCCUUUCGAAAGAAAGAUUAAUACCCGAUAGCAUAAUGAUUCCGCAUGGUUUCAUUAUUAAAGGAUUCCGGUAAAGGAUGGGGAUGCGUUCCAUUAGGUUGUUGGUGAGGUAACGGCCCACCAAGCCUUCGAUGGAUAGGGGUUCUGAGAGGAAGGUCCCCCACAUUGGAACUGAGACACGGUCCAAACUCCUACGGGAGGCAGCAGUGAGGAAUAUUGGUCAAUGGGCGCUAGCCUGAACCAGCCAAGUAGCGUGAAGGAUGAAGGCUCUAUGGGUCGUAAACUUCUUUUAUAUAAGAAUAAAGUGCAGUAUGUAUACUGUUUUGUAUGUAUUAUAUGAAUAAGGAUCGGCUAACUCCGUGCCAGCAGCCGCGGUAAUACGGAGGAUCCGAGCGUUAUCCGGAUUUAUUGGGUUUAAAGGGAGCGUAGGUGGACUGGUAAGUCAGUUGUGAAAGUUUGCGGCUCAACCGUAAAAUUGCAGUUGAUACUGUCAGUCUUGAGUACAGUAGAGGUGGGCGGAAUUCGUGGUGUAGCGGUGAAAUGCUUAGAUAUCACGAAGAACUCCGAUUGCGAAGGCAGCUCACUGGACUGCAACUGACACUGAUGCUCGAAAGUGUGGGUAUCAAACGGGAUUAGAUACCCUGGUAGUCCACACAGUAAACGAUGAAUACUCGCUGUUUGCGAUAUACAGUAAGCGGCCAAGCGAAAGCAUUAAGUAUUCCACCUGGGGAGUACGCCGGCAACGGUGAAACUCAAAGGAAUUGACGGGGCCCGCACAAGCGGAGGAACAUGUGGUUUAAUUCGAUGAUACGCGAGGAACCUUACCCGGGCUUAAAUUGCAGUGGAAUGAUGUGGAAACAUGUCAGUGAGCAAUCACCGCUGUGAAGGUGCUGCAUGGUUGUCGUCAGCUCGUGCCGUGAGGUGUCGGCUUAAGUGCCAUAACGAGCGCAACCCUUAUCUUUAGUUACUAACAGGUUAUGCUGAGGACUCUAGAGAGACUGCCGUCGUAAGAUGUGAGGAAGGUGGGGAUGACGUCAAAUCAGCACGGCCCUUACGUCCGGGGCUACACACGUGUUACAAUGGGGGGUACAGAAGGCAGCUAGCGGGUGACCGUAUGCUAAUCCCAAAAUCCUCUCUCAGUUCGGAUCGAAGUCUGCAACCCGACUUCGUGAAGCUGGAUUCGCUAGUAAUCGCGCAUCAGCCACGGCGCGGUGAAUACGUUCCCGGGCCUUGUACACACCGCCCGUCAAGCCAUGGGAGCCGGGGGUACCUGAAGUACGUAACCGCAAGGAUCGUCCUAGGGUAAAACUGGUGACUGGGGCUAAGUCAUAACAA
RNAcentral lists this ribosomal RNA (1446 nucleotides) under uncultured organism. Its description in RNAcentral is "SSU rRNA". It matches the Rfam family "Bacterial small subunit ribosomal RNA". The record is from RNAcentral.